RNAcentral lists this ribosomal RNA (440 nucleotides) under uncultured bacterium. RNAcentral's name for it is "partial 16S ribosomal RNA". It matches the Rfam family "Bacterial small subunit ribosomal RNA", at positions 338 to 795 of the family's 1533-position model. The record is from RNAcentral.
CCUACGGGAGGCAGCAGUGGGGAAUAUUGCACAAUGGGGGAAACCCUGAUGCAGCGACGCCGCGUGAGUGAAGAAGUAUUUCGGUAUGUAAAGCUCUAUCAGCAGGGAAGAAAAUGACGGUACCUGAUUACGAAGCCCCGGCUAACUACGUGCCAGCAGCCGCGGUAAUACGACGGGGGGAAGCGUUAUACGGAUGUACUGGGUGGAAAGCGAGAGUAGACGGGGGUGCCAGUCAGAAGUGAACGCCCGGGGUUCAACUCCGGGACUGCGUUUGAAACUGUGUGACUGGCGUGCAGGAGAGGUAAGCGGAAUUCCGGGGAGAGCGGUGAGAUGCGUAGAUAUCAGGAGGAACACCAGUGGCGAAGGCGGCUUAAUGGACUGUAACUGACGUUGAGGCUCGAAAGCGUGGGGAGCAAACAGGAUUAGAUACCCGGGUAGUC